RNAcentral lists this ribosomal RNA (252 nucleotides) under uncultured bacterium. RNAcentral's name for it is "partial 16S ribosomal RNA". It matches the Rfam family "Bacterial small subunit ribosomal RNA", at positions 524 to 776 of the family's 1533-position model. The record is from RNAcentral.
UACGAAGGGGCUAGCGUUGUUCGGAUUUACUGGGCGUAAAGCGCACGUAGGCGGAUCUUUAAGUCAGAGGUGAAAUCCCAAGGCUCAACCUUGGAACUGCCUUUGAUACUGGGGAUCUCGAGUUCGGGAGAGGUGAGUGGAACUGCGAGUGUAGAGGUGAAAUUCGUAGAUAUUCGCAGGAACACCAGUGGCGAAGGCGGCUCACUGGCCCGAUACUGACGCUGAGGUGCGAAAGCGUGGGGAGCAAACAGG